CGCAGUGGAAACAAGCAAGACCCGGCCCGGAAUUCCCGGGACCUGGGUUCGCAUGGGAAGGGUGUUCUGGAAGGGGGAUGCUUAGUGUCUGAGGCGACUUGGGUUGCCCUCAUCUUCCUGGCAGCAACGUGUAAGGGGGAGGGGCAAAAGGAGGGCUGGACUCGGGUACGAAGGGAUUCGGCGCGCUGGCUGCACCGGAGCGGACAGGGCCAGGAUUCAUUGUGUAAUGAAUUGAGUGGUGGGAAAACAGCAAUGAAUGAGACAGAUCCAGUCCUGGCACAAAGAAGGCUGUCCAGACCGGGGGAAGUGACAGGCAUUAACUCUACAGCAUGGAUAACCCUUGGAAACAUUUGGAAAAGUGAAAGAAGCCGGACACAGCGGGUCACAUAGGGUAUGACUUCCUUUGUAUGAAAUGCCCAGAACAGGUAAACACAUAGAGACAGAAACAGAUUGGUGGUUGCCAGGGGUUGGGGGAUGGGGAAUGGAGAUUGACUGCUAGUGGGGAUAGGGCUUCUUUUGGGGGUGAUGGAAAUGUUCUGUAAUUAGAGGUGAUACUUGCACAACUCUUUGAGUAUACAAAAGUCCAGUGAAUUGUACAUUUUAAAAUGUACAGUUGGGGCCAGGUGCAGUGACUCAUGCCUGUAAUCUCAGAACUUUGGGAGGCCAAGGUGGGCGGAUCACUUGAGGUCAGGAGUUCAAGACCAGCCUGGCCAAUAUGGUGAAACCCCAUCUCUACUAAAAAUACAAAAAUUAGCCAGGCAUGGUGGCGCGCAUCUGUAGUCCAGCUACUCAGGAGGCUGAGGCAAGAGAAUCACUUGAACCCAGGAGGCAG
RNAcentral lists this long non-coding RNA (832 nucleotides) under Macaca nemestrina (pig-tailed macaque). Its description in RNAcentral is "lncRNA (ENSMNEG00000045777.1)". The record is from RNAcentral. Lineage: Eukaryota; Metazoa; Chordata; Mammalia; Primates; Cercopithecidae.